GGGUCCUAUAGGGCCGUGGGGUCCUAUGGGGGCUGUGGGGUCCUAUGGGGUCUGUGGGGGCUGUGGGUCCCACCCGUGUCUGUGGGCCCCAUAGGGAUGUGGGGUCUGUGGGGUCCUAUGGGGUCUGUGGGGUCCUAUGGGGUCUGUGGGGUCUGUGGGCUCUGUGGGGCUGUGUGGGCUGUAGGAUCCUAUGGGGUCUGUGGGGUCCUAUGGGGGUCUGUGGGGUCUGUGGGUCCCACCCGUGUCUGUGGGCCCCAUAGGGAUGUGGGGUCUGUGGUGUCCUAUGGGAUCUGUGGGGUCCUAUGGGGUCUGUGGGCUCUGUGGGCUCUGUGGGGCUGUGUGGGCUGUGGGAUCCUAUGGGGUCUGUGGGAUCCUAUGGGGUCUGUGGGGUCUGUGGGUCCCACCCGUGUCUGUGGGCCCCAUAGGGAUGUGGGGGCUGUGGGGUCCUAUGGGGUCUGUGGGGUCUGUGGGUCCCACCCGUGUCUGUGGGCCCCAUAGGGCUGUGGGUUCUGUGGGGUCCUAUGGGGUCCUGAGGGGUCUGUGGGGUCCUAUGGGGUCUGUGGGGUCUGUGGGCUCUGUGGGGCUGUGUGGGCUGUGGGAUCCUAUGGGGUCUGUGGGAUCCUAUGGGGUCUGUGGGGUCUGUGGGUCCCACCCGUGUCUGUGGGCCCCAUAGGGAUGUGGGGGCUGUGGUGUCCUAUGGGGUCCUGUGGGGUCUGUGGGGGUCUAUGGGGUCUGUGGGGUUCUGUGGGUCCUGUGGGGGGUCCUAUGGGGUUUGUGGGUUCCUAUGGGGUCUGUGGGGUUCUGUGGGUCCUGUGGGGUCCUAUAGGGUUCUAUGGGGUUCUGUGGGUCCUGGGGGGGUUCUAUGGGGUUUGUGUGUCCUGUGGGGUCCCUAUAGGACUGUGGGAUCCAAUGGGGUUCUGUGGGGCUGUGUGGGUCCUGUGGGUCCUAUAGGGUCCUAUAGGGUUCUAUGGGGUUCUGUGGGGUCCUGUGGGUCCUAUAGGGUCCUAUAGGGUUCUAUGGGGUUCUGUGGGUUCUGUGGGGUCCUAUAGGGUUCUGUGGGGUUCUGUGGGUCCUAUGGGGUUCUGUGGGUCCGGUGGGGUCCUAUAGGGUUUUAUGGGGUUCUGUGGGUCCUGUGGGGUCCUAUGGGGUUCUAUAGGGUUCUGUGGGUUCUGUGGGGUCCUAUAGGGUUCUGUGGGGUUCUGUAGGGUUCUAUGGGGUCCUGUGGGUCCUGUGGGGUCCUAUAGGGUUUUAUGGGGUUCUGUGGGUUCUACAGGGUUCUGUGGGUUCUGUGGGGUCCUAUGGGGUUCUAUGGGGUUCUGUGGGGUUCUAUGAGGUUCUGUGGGUCCUGUGGGGUCCUAUAGGGUUUUAUGGGGUUCUGUGGGUUCUAUAGGGUUCUGUGGGUCCUGUGGGGUCCUAUAGGGUUCUAUGGGGUUCUGUGGGUCCUGUGGGGUCCUAUAGGGUUCUGUGGUGUCACAGGGUGACGCAGGGACCCCAUAGAGACCCAAAGGGGGACGGCGGCACCCCAUAGGGACCCCAUAGGGACCCCAUAGGGGAACACCCAUAGGGUGACAGCGGGACCCCGUAAAGACCCCAUAGGGGGACACUGGGACCCCAUAGGGACCCCAUAGAGACACCUAUAGGGUGACGCCAGGACCCCAUAGGGACCCUAUAGCGACCUCACGGCUGCCCCAUAUUGGGACGCCCAGAGGGGCCCCAUAGGGGGACUCCCAUAGGGUGACAGCGGGGCACAAAUAGGGUCACCCGUAGGGACCCCAUAGGGGGACUCCCAUAGGGUCAUGUAGGGGCUUUACAUGGGGUCAGCACAUGGGGGACCCUAUAGCGACCCCAUAGCAGCCCCACAGGGACCCCAUAUAAGGACCCUAAAUAGGGACCCCAUAGGGUGACACCGGGACCCCAUAGGGACCCCAUAGGGUGGCGCCAGGACCCCAUAGGGACACCAUAGGGACCCCAUAGGGGGACUCCCAUAGGGUCAUGUAGGGGCUUUACAUGGGGUCAGCCCAUGGGGGACCCUAUACGACCCCAUAGCAGCCCCACAGGGACACCAUAUAAGGACCCUAAAUAGGGACCCCAUAGGGUGACACCGGGACCCCAUAAAGACCCCAUAGGGACCCCAUAUAGGGACUCCAUAGGGGAACACCGAUAGGGUGAUGCCAGGAUCCCCAUAGGGACCCCAUAGGGACCCCAUAAGGACCCCAUAGGGUCACACCGGGACCCCAUAGGGACCCCAUAGGGACCCCAUAAGGACCCCAUAGGGACCCCUUAGGGGGACACCCAUAGGGUUGACACCGGGACCCCAUAGAGCCCCACAGAGACCCAGUUGGGCCCCCAUAGGACCCCGUAGGGCCACCCUAUGGUGACACCGGGACCCCAUAGGGACCCCAUAGGGACCCCAUAGGGUGACACCGGGACCCCAUAGAGACCCCAUAGGGACCCCAUAGGGUGACACCGGGGACCCCAUAGAGACCCCAUAGGGACCCCAUAUAGGGACCCUGUAGGGGAACACCCAUAGGGUGACACAGGGACCCCAUAUAGGGACCCCAUAGGGGGACACCGGGACCCCACAGAGACCCCAUAGGGACACCCAUAGGGACAGCCAUAGGGUGACACGGGGACCCCAUAGGGACCCCAUAAGGACCCCAUAGGGUCACACCGGGACCCCAUAGGGACCCCUUAGGGACCCCUUAGGGGGACACCCAUAGGGUUGACACUGGGACCCCAUAGGGCCCCACAGAGACCCAGUUGGGCCCCCAUAGGACCCCGUAGGGCCACCCUAUGGUGACACCGGGACCCCAUAGGGACCCCAUAGGGACAGCCAUAGGGUGACACGGGGACCCCAUAGAGACCCCAUAGGGAUCCCAUAGAGUGACACCGGGACCCCAUAGGGACGCCAUAGGGACACCAUAGGGACCCCAUAGGGACCCCAUAGGGUGACACCAGGACCCCAUAGGGACCCAUAGGGACCCCAUAGGGUGACACUGGGACCCCAUAGGGACGCCAUAGGAACCCCAUAGGGACGCCAUAGGGACGCCAUAGGGACCCCAUAGGGACCCCAUAGGGUGACACCGGGACCCCAUAGGGACCCCAUAGGGACCCCAUAGGGUGACACUGGGACCCCAUAAGGACCCCAUAAGGACCCCAUAAGGACCCCAUAAGGACCCCAUAGGGUCACACCGGGACCCCAUAGGGACCCCAUAGGGCGGGGCGCAGUGCCGGGGGGGCAGUGCUAAAUAUAGGGCAGCGCGUGGCUGCCACAAAUAGCGCCGCGGGGUAUAG
This 3294-nucleotide long non-coding RNA is filed under the name Gallus gallus (chicken). RNAcentral's name for it is "lncRNA (ENSGALG00010000752.1)". Lineage: Eukaryota; Metazoa; Chordata; Aves; Galliformes; Phasianidae. The record is from RNAcentral.